AAACCAAAUACAAAUCAGAGUGAUGGCAAAGAGGUAAACAUUUAA
RNAcentral lists this unclassified non-coding RNA (45 nucleotides) under Leishmania tarentolae. Its description in RNAcentral is "guide RNA". Lineage: Eukaryota; Euglenozoa; Kinetoplastea; Trypanosomatida; Trypanosomatidae. The record is from RNAcentral.